This 447-nucleotide ribosomal RNA is filed under the name uncultured bacterium. RNAcentral's name for it is "bacterial SSU rRNA". It matches the Rfam family "Bacterial small subunit ribosomal RNA", at positions 355 to 825 of the family's 1533-position model. The record is from RNAcentral.
UGGGGAAUCUUGGACAAUGGGCGCAAGCCUGAUCCAGCCAUGCCGCGUGAGUGAUGAAGGCCUUAGGGUUGUAAAGCUCUUUUGCCGGGGACGAUAAUGACGGUACCCGGAGAAUAAGUCCCGGCUAACUUCGUGCCAGCAGCCGCGGUAAUACGAAGGGGACUAGCGUUGUUCGGAAUCACUGGGCGUAAAGCGCACGUAGGCGGAUUUGUAAGUCAGGGGUGAAAUCCCGGGGCUCAACCUCGGAACUGCCUUUGAUACUGCGGAUCUCGAGUCCGAUAGAGGUGAGUGGAAUUCCUAGUGUAGAGGUGAAAUUCGUAGAUAUUAGGAAGAACACCAGUGGCGAAGGCGGCUUACUGGUCCGACACUGACGCUGAGGCGCGAAAGCGUGGGGAGCAAACAGGAUUAGAUACCCCAGUAGUCCCUGAGCGGGCUGGCAAGGCGCAU